RNAcentral lists this long non-coding RNA (292 nucleotides) under Zonotrichia albicollis (white-throated sparrow). Its description in RNAcentral is "lncRNA (ENSZALG00000001239.1)". The record is from RNAcentral. Lineage: Eukaryota; Metazoa; Chordata; Aves; Passeriformes; Passerellidae.
UGACUGACAAACCUUCACAGGACUCAAUUAGUGACCCAUUGAACAGCACAGGUGCUCAAAGCACCAUGAAAGCGGAAUUACAUCAACUCCUGCUCCCAGCAGAGGUCUGGACCCUGUGACCAGUUCAUCCUGCCUCCUAAUUAACUUCUCAGGUACAAGGUCUUGCUGCUGUCAUAAUCAGCCCUUUCAAGCUUCCAUGAUGAGACUCUAAAUCUCUUCAGCACACAACAGCUUUGGUGGGUUAAGAGUCAAUUGAAUCUUUUUAGUAAAAACAACCGUCUUCCACUGACCU